This 90-nucleotide transfer RNA is filed under the name TM7 phylum sp. oral taxon 348. RNAcentral describes it as "tRNA-Ser". It matches the Rfam family "tRNA". From Rfam's summary of the family: Transfer RNA (tRNA) molecules are approximately 80 nucleotides in length. Their secondary structure includes four short double-helical elements and three loops (D, anti-codon, and T loops). Further hydrogen bonds mediate the characteristic L-shaped molecular structure. tRNAs have two regions of fundamental functional importance: the anti-codon, which is responsible for specific mRNA codon recognition, and the 3' end, to which the tRNAs corresponding amino acid is attached (by aminoacyl-tRNA synthetases). tRNAs cope with the degeneracy of the genetic code in two manners: having more than one tRNA (with a specific anti-codon) for a particular amino acid; and 'wobble' base-pairing, i.e. permitting non-standard base-pairing at the 3rd anti-codon position. The record is from RNAcentral. RNAcentral also lists the same sequence under 4 other names. Lineage: Bacteria; Candidatus Saccharimonadota.
GGAGAGAUGACCGAGUGGUUGAAGGUACCGGUCUUGAAAACCGGCGUGCGGUAAAACGUACCGAGGGUUCGAAUCCCUCUCUCUCCGCCA